Molecule: ribosomal RNA, 388 nt
Filed under: uncultured low G+C Gram-positive bacterium
Lineage: Bacteria; Bacillati; Bacillota
Description: bacterial SSU rRNA
Rfam family: Bacterial small subunit ribosomal RNA
Source: RNAcentral
UUCGCCCUUAGAGUUUGAUCCUGGCUCAGGACGAACGCUGGCGGCGCGCUUAACACAUGCGAGUCGAACGCUCCGCCCUUUUUAGCCCUUCGGGGCUAAGGAGGAUCACGGAGAGUGGCGGACGGGUGAGUAACGCGUAGGUAACCUACCCUGAGGAGAGGGAUAACUCUGCGGAAGCGGGGCUAAUACCUCAUACUGUUAGGGCGUGGCAUCACGCCUUAAUGAAAGCUGGCAUAAAGCCAGUGUCACAGGAGGGGCCUGCGUCGGAUUAGCUAGCUGGUGGGGUAAAGGCCUACCAGGGCGACAAUCCGUAGCUGGUCUGAGAGGACGAUCAGCCACACUGGGACUGAGACACGGCCCAGACUCCUACGGGAGGCAGCAGUGGGGA